This 267-nucleotide ribosomal RNA is filed under the name uncultured bacterium. RNAcentral's name for it is "partial 16S ribosomal RNA". It matches the Rfam family "Bacterial small subunit ribosomal RNA", at positions 793 to 1055 of the family's 1533-position model. The record is from RNAcentral.
GUCCACGCCCUAAACGAUGUCAACUAGGUGUUGGGAGGGUAAAACCUUUUAGUACCGUAGCUAACGCGAGAAGUUGACCGCCUGGGGAGUACGGCCGCAAGGUUAAAACUCAAAGGAAUUGAUGGGGACCCGCACAAGCGGUGGAUGAUGUGGAUUAAUUCGAUGCAACGCGAAAAACCUUACCUACCCUUGACAUGUUCAGAAGGCCGAAGAGAUUUGGCUGUGCUCGAAAAGAGAACUGGAACACAGGUGCUGCAUGGCUGUCGU